CAUCACCUUACAUACUAGUCAGACUAUUAUUUUUUACGAUAAUAGAUUAAAUCUGUUUCUAAACAGCAACGUUGACAAAGCGUACAGUGAUCUAGUAUUUGUAUAUUAUAUUAGACAGUUGUCGACGUUCUUAGGUGUAGUGCUUGCUUAUCGUAUCGGCUGUUUAAAAUUAUUUAUAUUUUGUGCAAACAGAUGUGUUGGCACGAAAGAAGCUAUUUGUCCUGUUCUUAAACAUUCAUUGAUGUAGGAUCUGUUUAAAAAUCAUAACAGGAACUGCUAAAAACAAUCGCUCGGGUCGCGCGAUAUGGGGCGCGGCGCGCGCUGGCGCG
This is a long non-coding RNA of Trichoplusia ni (cabbage looper), 329 nucleotides long. RefSeq lists it as uncharacterized. The record is from RefSeq and is a predicted model, not a curated record. Lineage: Eukaryota; Metazoa; Arthropoda; Insecta; Lepidoptera; Noctuidae. The transcript is spliced from 3 exons.